RNAcentral lists this ribosomal RNA (404 nucleotides) under uncultured bacterium. RNAcentral describes it as "bacterial SSU rRNA". It matches the Rfam family "Bacterial small subunit ribosomal RNA", at positions 28 to 431 of the family's 1533-position model. The record is from RNAcentral.
GAUGAACGCUAGCGGCAGGCCUAACACAUGCAAGUCGAGGGGCAGCACGUCUUCGGAUGGUGGCGACCGGCGCACGGGUGCGUAACGCGUAUGCAACCUACCUCUUACAGUGGGAUAGCCCAGAGAAAUUUGGAUUAAUACCGCAUAGUAUACAGAUUCAGCAUUGGGACUGUAUUAAACAUUUAUGGGUAAGAGAUGGGCAUGCGUUCUAUUAGUUAGUUGGAGUGGUAACGGCACCCCAAGACAGCGAUAGAUAGGGGCCCUGAGAGGGGGAUCCCCCACACUGGUACUGAGACACGGACCAGACUCCUACGGGAGGCAGCAGUGAGGAAUAUUGGACAAUGGGCGAGAGCCUGAUCCAGCCAUGCCGCGUGCAGGAAGACGGCCCUAUGGGUUGUAAAACU